ACUUGCUACUUCUAAGUUCCUCUUUCAGUCUUCCCAGUCAAAAUGCUCUACUUUUCUAACUGAAUCCGUAAAUUUUCGUUCCUCUGUGUUCCUCGUCCUAUGUUUCAUAGGAACUUACUACCAUUGUUGUCAAAACAAGUCACCCUUCACCUUAAACCUCGUCUCACCCGAGCAAUGAGCUCCCAGUUCCAGCUCCGAGUCAACCCACUCACCGGCAACUCGGAGUGGAUCGUCAUCGACGAAAACGAACCAGAAGGCCCAACUCCCAACACUUCCCAAAAUGCCCUCCUCGCCACAACCUCGUACCUCGACAUGCUCAACGACUCUCCGAGGAACAGAGCUUACCGCCAAGCCAUAGACAAGACCGUAACUAAACCCUGCCGUGUUCUUGAUAUUGGCGCCGGAACUGGGUUGCUGUCGAUGAUGGCUGCGCGGGCAAUGGGGUCGACGACAUGUCGUAUGGUGACUGCCUGUGAGUCUUACCUUCCAAUGGUGAAACUAAUGAAGAAGGUUCUGCGCUUGAACGACAUGGAAAAGCAGAUAAAACUGAUCAACAAGCGUUCUGAUGAGCUCGAGUUGGGUGUUGAUAUCAAUUCUCGCGCUCAAGUUGUUGUUAGUGAGAUAUUGGAUUCAGAGUUGUUGGGUGAAGGGUUGAUACCUUCUCUGCAACAUGCGCAUGACAUGUUGUUGGUGGAGAGUCCUGAAACGGUGCCGUAUAGAGCAACCACUUAUGGCCAGUUGGUUGAGAGCACAUUUUUGUGGAAGCUUCAUGAUUUACGCGGUAAUGAGGCAGAAGCGUGUGAUGGGAUUCGUCUUGUUCCAACCGGGUUUGAGGAUGUUUUGGGUGUUAAGCAGCAACAAUAUGCGUUUCAUUGCGAGGCUAUAGCAAAUGAAGUGAAACUGCUGUCGGAACCCUUCAGGAUCUUUGAAUUUGAUUUUUCGAAACGGCCAGAGAGUCGUGGAGAAACUGAGCUAUCUAUAAAGGCGACUAAUGAUGGUCGAGUUCAUGCUGUAAUUUCAUGGUGGAUACUUCAGCUUGAUCGAGAAGGGACAAUCUUUUAUUCCACUGCCCCUAGGUGGAUAAAUUUGCCAGUCAACAUUAGUCAUGGGGAUUGGUGUGACCAUUGGAAACAGUGUGUUUGGUUUAUCCCUGGUGAAGGUAUGUCCGUAAACAAGGAUGAAGAAGUUUGUUUGCAUGCUGUUCAUACAGAUAUUAGCAUCUCAUAUACUAUCAAGAGCCCCGUGUCAAGAAACAAGCGUGUGCAGUAUGACUUAACUGGCAGGGAUUUCAAGCUCAUACUACCACCAGAAAGAAUUGCAAUUUAUGGAGACAGUGUAUGGAGGCAUACCAUGUUUAAUGCAAUAAGUAAUGCGUUACAGGGAAGAGUUGAUCCAUUAUGCAUUGUUGCAGAUGACAGCGUCUUCUUAACUCUACUCAUUGCCCAUCUUUCUAAAACAUCACAUGUGAUAUCAUUUUUUCCGGGGUUGCAAGACAAGGGUUUGCAAUAUCUGCAAGCUGUCGCCAGUGCCAACAAUUUCUCAGUGGAUCGUGUAGAAUAUAUUAAAAAGAAGAAAACUAAGUUAACUGUGCACGAUACACAUCAGAGAAAGGUUGACCUGUUGAUUGCAGAACCUUUCUACUAUGGAACAGAUAGCAUGCUUCCAUGGCAGAAUCUCCGGUUCUGGAAUGAGCGGACAAUGCUGGAUUCUGUCCUAUCAGAAGAUGCAUUGAUAAUGCCUUGUAAGGCAAUAUUGAAGGCUUGUGCAUUGUCUAUCCCUGAUCUUUGGAAUAGUCGUCGUAGUUUGAGUAAGAUUGAAGGGUUUGACCAUUCUGUUGUAAAUUCUACCCUAGGGGCAUGUGGUGAACUACCUGGGGAGCAAGAGGGUCCUUGUCUGCCCUAUUUUAUUUGGCAGUGCGGAAAUGUUAAGAAACUCAGUGAAGCAUUUACGGUCAUGGAGUUUGAUUUCUCAAAACCUAUAAUGCCAUCUCAUGGAAAAACCCAGGUACUACAAUCACCCCUUAAAAUUUUAGUGAUAUUUGUGGUUAUCCUUAUUGAAAUCUGGUCACAGUUGGCACUUACUUCAAACUGCAGUACUGUGAGUAAUUUCUUACCCAGCCAUGAUGAAGCAUUUUAUCUCUGUUGUUUAGCACUCACCAUUGAACGAAUGAUUUAUGAUUGCUCUUUCUAAAGUUUGAUUGUAGGACCUUCGGGUUUCAGAACUAAUUGUCUUGUAAUCUAUUUGUAAAGAGUUGGCACGAUUGCCUUCUAAACUUGUAUUCCCCGUCCCUCUCAAGUAACAUCUGGAUUUCAUUAUAUGGUUGAAUUUACUGAGCCAGGGAUAUGCCACGGGUUUGCACUAUGGAUUGAUUGGGUGAUGGAUUCAGAGAACUCCAUUGUAUUGUCUACAGGGCCAGAUAAGAGGUAUUGGAAGCAAGGAGUAAAGCUUCUGGCCAAG
Molecule: RNA transcript, 2457 nt
Organism: Rosa rugosa (rugosa rose)
Lineage: Eukaryota; Viridiplantae; Streptophyta; Magnoliopsida; Rosales; Rosaceae
Gene name: protein arginine N-methyltransferase 1.6
Exons: 14
Source: RefSeq, a predicted model, not a curated record